AGUGAACGCUGGCGGUAGGCCUAACACAUGCAAGUCGAACGGCAGCACAGUAAGAGCUUGCUCUUACGGGUGGCGAGUGGCGGACGGGUGAGGAAUACAUCGGAAUCUACUUUUUCGUGGGGGAUAACGUAGGGAAACUUACGCUAAUACCGCAUACGACCUACGGGUGAAAGCAGGGGAUCUUCGGACCUUGCGCGAUUGAAUGAGCCGAUGUCGGAUUAGCUAGUUGGCGGGGUACAGGCCCACCAAGGCGACGAUCCGUAGCUGGUCUGAGAGGAUGAGCAGCCACACUGGAACUGAGACACGGUCCAGACUCCUACGGGAGGCAGCAGUGGGGAAUAUUGGACAAUGGGCGCAAGCCUGAUCCAGCCAUACCGCGUGGGUGAAGAAGGCCUUCGGGUUGUAAAGCCCUUUUGUUGGGAAAGAAAAGCAGCAGGUUAAUACCCCGCUGUUCUGACGGUACCCAAAGAAUAAGCACCGGCUAACUCGUG
This 491-nucleotide ribosomal RNA is filed under the name uncultured bacterium. RNAcentral's name for it is "partial 16S ribosomal RNA". It matches the Rfam family "Bacterial small subunit ribosomal RNA", at positions 29 to 507 of the family's 1533-position model. The record is from RNAcentral.